AAGGGUAGGGGGUUCACAGUUGUAAUGUUCUUGGUGGGGUAGACAGGUAAGUCGGGAAGGGUGUUGGUGAGGGAUGGAGGAUUCCUUGGUCAUGGGAGGCUCCCUUACCUGUUCAUUUCCAGACAUUGUCACCUUUGUGACUCCUUUCCCCUUGUUUCAAGGAAGUAGGAUUUUUGUGAAGGAAGGGUGACCGCCCUGUGAUCGGGGUUCGGGUCGCUUUCCUUUCCCCCUCUUUGCAUUGGCCCUCUUAAUGCCAAAGUCCAAAGUGAGCUCCCUGUAACUAGGGUGUGCGUCUUUCCCAAGCUUACUCGCCCAUUUGAAAGCUAGUUAUAGAAACCAGCCUCUUUGGAGAGUUAGGGGUUUGUCCUUCUAGCUGUCCUGUCGCCAUGCCCUACUCACACGCACAACCAAGUCCAAACCGAGCGAACUCUGCAUCCAGCUGGCCCCGACGACUUCUGCUGCUGCUGCUGCAAGGUUUCCUGCUGUAUGCCACAGCAACUCAAAAGAGAAAACGGAGAAGAAGACAGAAGCCCCAAAGAACCGGCAGGAGAAGACAAUGGAAGCAGAAGCCACAGAAAAGAGACACACACCUUGCACGCGUGGGCCUCCCUGUAAUGAGGACACGGGGUUUCCACUUAAGCUUCAUUCCCCCUUGAGGUGCCAGGUAAAAGGACCUCCCUGUAAACAGGGAUCAAGGUCCACCCCUUCCCAGCAAAAAGGCUUGAGGUGUCCGUUAGGUAGCUAAGGCUGAGGAACCCCCCUUUAAGAAGGGUAGCGGUCUCUCUGUGGCUUUCAGCUCUUUAGGAGCUAGGCUUUAAAAUGCCCCGUGCCAUUGACCUCUCCCUGUAAGAAGGGUUCAGGUCUCCCCUUUUUAGCUUCUCCUGGGCCGCUGGCACUUGCUGGGCAAAGAGACGGCCCUCUCCUGAGGGAAUGGAGGUCUCUCCCUUUCUGCACUUCAGGGUUUGGCCCAGGCUAAAGGACCAUCCUGUAAGGAGGGUUUGGGUCUCCUUUGCCAUGCUGCAUUCGCCACAGGUCACUUGGACAUGCCAGGCAAAAUGACCGCCCUGUAAGCAGGGUGUAAGGUCUGCUCCCUCUCCCUCUUAAGCCAGUGGGCCCUUUCCGUACCUGUGGCUGAGGGACCCCCCUUUAAGAAGGGUAGCGGUCUCUCUGUGGCUUUCAGCUCUUUAGGAGCUAAGCUUUAAAAUGCCCCGUACCAUUGACCUCUCCCUGUCAGAAGGGUUCAGGUGUCCCCUUUUUAGCUUCUCCUGGGCCGCUGGCACUUGCUGGGCAAAGAGACCACCCUCUCCUGAGGGAAUGGAGGUCUCUCCCUUUCUGUACUUCGGGGUUUGGCCCAGGCCAAAGGACCACCCUGUAAGGAGGGUUUGGGUCUCCUUUGCCCUGCUGCUUUCGCUACAGGUCACUUGGACAUGCCAGGCAAAAUGACCGCCCUGUAAGCAGGGUGUAAGGUCUGCUCCCUCUCCCUCUUAAGCCAGUGGGGCCUUUCGGUGCCUGUGGCUGAGGGACCCCCCUUUAAGAAGGGUAGCGGUCUUUGUGUGGCAUUCAGCUCGUUAGCAGCUAGGCUUUAAAAUUCCCUGUGCCGUUGACCUCUCCCUGUCAGAAGGGUUCAGGUGUCCCCUUUUUAGCUUCUCUUGGGCCGCUGGCACUUGCUGGGCAAAGAGACCACCCUCUCCUGAGGGGAUGGAGGUCUCUCCCUUUCUGCACUUCAGGGUUUGGCCCAGGCUAAAGGACCAUCCUGUAAGGAGGGUUUGGGUCUCCUUUGCCAUGCUGCAUUCGCCACAGGUCACUUGGACAUGCCAGGCAAAAUGACCGCCCUAUAAGCAGGGUGUAAGGUCUUCUCUCUCUCCCUCUUAAGUCAGUGGGGCCUUUCCGUGCCUGUGGCUGAGGGAUCCCGCUU
This is a long non-coding RNA of Dermochelys coriacea (leatherback sea turtle), 1915 nucleotides long. RefSeq lists it as uncharacterized. The transcript is spliced from 4 exons. NCBI's taxonomy places the organism in Eukaryota, Metazoa, Chordata, Testudines, Dermochelyidae. The record is from RefSeq and is a predicted model, not a curated record.